This 506-nucleotide ribosomal RNA is filed under the name uncultured bacterium. RNAcentral's name for it is "bacterial SSU rRNA". It matches the Rfam family "Bacterial small subunit ribosomal RNA", at positions 19 to 518 of the family's 1533-position model. The record is from RNAcentral.
CUGGCUCAGGAUGAACGCUAGCUACAGGCUUAACACAUGCAAGUCGAGGGGCAGCAUUGGAGUAGCAAUACUCAGAUGGCGACCGGCGCACGGGUGAGUAACACGUAUCCAACCUGCCGCUUACUCGGGGAUAGCCUUCGAAAGAAAGAUUAAUACCCGAUGGUAUAAAGAGUUCGCAUGUUCUCUUUAUUAAAGAAUUUCGGUAAGCGAUGGGGAUGCGUUCCAUUAGAUAGUUGGCGGGUAACGGCCCACCAAGUCUACGAUGGAUAGGGGUUCUGAGAGGAAGGCCCCCCACAUUGGAACUGAGACACGGUCCAAACUCCUACGGGAGGCAGCAGUGAGGAAUAUUGGUCAAUGGACGAGAGUCUGAACCAGCCAAAAGUAGCGUGAAGGAUGACUGCCCUAUGGGUUGUAAACUUCUUUUAUAAGGGAAUAAAGUGAGGGACGUGUCCCUUUUUGUAUGUACCUUAUGAAUAAGGAUCGGCUAACUCCGUGCCAGCCGCGGC